UCUCUCUCUCUAUCGGUGCUCUGCCGCCGCCGCCCCGACGGCGGUGCCCGCCGGACGGAGGCCGGCGUCGCCCCUCUCCUCUCUCCCUGAACUCUUUCCCCCUCUCUUCUCCUCUAUCUCUCUCGCUCUCUCGGCCGCUGGACCCAGGCGCAGCAGACACCACCACCGCGGUGCGCCGCCAUCGCCGGGCCGCCGCCUGCUCCCUCAUUCUCGCGGCAGAUCCGCCGCGGCCUGAAGACCACGGCGCCGUCGCUCAUCUCGCCAUCUCCCUUUCUCCCUCGUUCUCACCUUCUCUCUUUCUCACUGACUCACACACACACACGCACGCAGACACGGCGUAUGCCGCGCCGCCGCAUCGUCCUCCCCUUCGCCGGUGGACAGACGGCCAGGAGCCGCCGCCUCCGUCGUCCGUGGAAUUUAAAGGUAAGCCCUAAUUCCCUCUCCUCUUUCCUCAUUUUCCCCUUUUCAAAUUAAAACUGAAAACCCCUCUCCUCUUUUCCUCUCUAUGGCAGAACGGAAACCACCACGUGGCUCCGCCGCCUUCCGUCGACCACCGGCAGCCACCGCGGCUGCCGUCCCCUGACCUCGACUCACACACACAGCAGGGUUCAAGCGACAUGUUCAAAUCAAAAAAAAAUUAGGCAUAGGAUUCCUUUUAGCAACUAUCAUACUUAUACUGUAAUUGAUCAAUUGUAAACUGUACACAAACAUUCAUUCAUGUAAAUUAAUCCUUCAUGUAAUUUCAGUUUCAAAAUACAUGUGUAAACGUAUUGGUGAUUGUUAGUUCCCUGUAAAAGUGAAAUAGGGGAAAACCUUGGAUUGGUGGUGAAUGUUGCUUGUCUCUGCAGAAUUGAUAUAUCACAUAAGUUAGAAUUGUUGUGAAGAAGAAUGAAUUGUUGUGAAGAAGAAUUGAAUGAGAUGAAAUAUCUUCACUCUAUUACCUUGUAAUCUGUUGGGGUGAAACUUGCUGCAGAGGUGGGCAUGGGUGAGGUGAGAUAGUGGGAUAGGUUUUAAAGAAGGAAGAGGAGGUGGGCAUGGGUGAGGUGAGAUAGUGGGAUAGGUUUUAAAGAAGGAAGAGGAAUGUGGGAUGAUUUGUGACCAUGCAUCCCUUAAUUGUAUUAAUAGGCAAAAGUGCUCCAUUUCUUUUUCAUAUUUUGAAAAAUGCUCAUCUUUAUCAUGCAAAGCUAUCCAUGCCCUAAAUUACUAAAUAAUCCUUAAGUGGGUUAACAUCAAAUGUAAUCAUUUCGGUCUUCUUACACAAUCUUACACAUUUUUGAGUUUCAAUGCAUUUUUUUACAAUAAUUUGUGAUGUUGACCGAAAUUCAUGGUUUUGAGUGCAUGCAAUAAUUUUUUUUACACUGUAUAUAUAUAUAGUGUUCAUAUCUUUAAAUUGUAAAUAUUAUCGACCGGACACUAAUUAACACUUAAACAAUAUAUUAAAUUAAAUUCAGCAAAAUAGUAAAAAUUAAUAUAAAGAUACAAAUAGAUAGAAUAAAAACUUUUAUGUCGAUAUAGCAUAUGUCCGGCCGGUGAAAUGGCCAGAACAAUGUAUCCGACCGGGUACAUUUCAGGUAAACAAUGACCCGGCCGGACACAUUUUUCCUUGAAAAUUACCGGCCGGAUAGAUAUUAUUUAGGCAUAAAAUAUUCUAUUUUAUUCAAUUUCAUAAAAAAUAAAUAAAUAAAACUGUCAAGAAGCUAAUAAUAUAGAUACAUGCGUAUCUAUCUUAAAUUUUUUAUUUUUUUCCCUUUAAUAUCUUAAUUUCAAUACAUAUAUUCUUUGAAAUUAUUUGUAUAUAUAUAUAUAUAUAUUGUGUUAUUCUUGAAUGUUGAUAUAUAGUACUCCUCCUUCCAUUAUUCAUGGGUCGAUUCCAUACUAUACCCCUUAAAAUAAAAUUCGUCCCGAAAUUUGUACCUCAGAAAAUAACUCUGAGUACUUCACCUUCUGUUAGACCGUAGUCUAUUCUUGACCAUGAUAUAUUCAUAGGUCCCUUACUAGCGGUAUCGACUUAGGGGGGUGUAUUCGUUGUGGAUUUCCACAGAUUUUAAAAAGUCCAUGGAAUUUAAAUUCCAUGGAAUUCCNCUCCCUUUCUCCCUCGUUCUCACCUUCUCUCUUUCUCACUGACUCACA
RNAcentral lists this long non-coding RNA (2130 nucleotides) under Salvia miltiorrhiza (redroot sage). RNAcentral's name for it is "long non-coding RNA (SMIL_LNC006503)". The record is from RNAcentral. Lineage: Eukaryota; Viridiplantae; Streptophyta; Magnoliopsida; Lamiales; Lamiaceae.